GGCUGGCAGCUGAAGGAGAAGUAUCUUUACUUGGAGAUUGCCUACUUUGGGAGUUUACUAGUGAGCCUGGUAUUCUCUGAACAGGGAGGAAACCCAAGGCACAGAGGAGGAGGUGAGAUACUGAGAACUGCUCCAGCAAACCAGGAAAAGAGGUCCACCAGGCAUUCCACGUGCCAGCCUGGGCUCCCUCCCUACUGUAUGGCAGCAUCACUCACAGAAAUGAUAAGGCUAAAGGAGCAAGAGGAAAGGUUGUCCAGCACCGAGCAGCUAACGGCCCUUUGUGGACUCAGACCAUCAAAGAGAAGACUACAGAAUGGGGACAGGCAUUCUUUCCAUUCCUGUCUGUCAGUGAAUAUGAGGAAAUGAGAGCAUGGGCCAGACCUCACUCCAGACGCAGAAAUGGGUGUACAUUGCUAUUCAGGCUUGAAUCGAGGUACCUUUGGUCCAGCAGCCUGCCUCCUACCACAAGCACUUCUGGAGGCUAUACAAGAACUCUGCUACAUGUAAAUAUAAGAAAAAAAAGAAUGAGAAAGGUCAUCAGAGCUUCCUAAGCCUGAUCAGAUAUCAGAAUGGUCCUGCUGAGUUUUGCAUCCUGACACUUUGAAUUAUGGCAAAAGAAUUUUUAGCAACAUGCUCUUCUUUUUCCAUCUUUUUAUAUUCAUUUAUCACAGCUAGUGAUUGUUCCUGGCUUCUUUUGAUCAUAGCCA
Gallus gallus (chicken) is the source of this 707-nucleotide long non-coding RNA. Lineage: Eukaryota; Metazoa; Chordata; Aves; Galliformes; Phasianidae. The record is from Ensembl.